UGGUGGAUUGAUUUGUCUGGUUUAUUCCGAUUACGAACGAGACUCCAACCUACUAAAUAGUGGUCGGAUUUAUUGGUUUGAAUCACUUCUUAGAGGGACAAGCAGUGUUUAGCUGCAUGAGAAGGAGCAAUAACA
Molecule: ribosomal RNA, 135 nt
Filed under: uncultured eukaryote
Lineage: Eukaryota
Description: partial 18S ribosomal RNA
Rfam family: Eukaryotic small subunit ribosomal RNA
Source: RNAcentral